GAUGAACGCUGGCGGCGUGCCUAAUACAUGCAAGUCGAGCGAACAGACGAGGAGCUUGCUUCUCUGAUGUUAGCGGCGAACGGGUGAGUAACACGUGGGUAACCUACCUAUAAGACUGGGAUAACUCCGGGAAACCGGGGCUAAUACCGGAUAAUAUUUUGAACCGCAUGGUUCGAUAGUGAAAGACGGUUUCGGCUGUCACUUAUAGAUGGACCCGCGCCGUAUUAGCUAGUUGGUAAGGUAACGGCUUACCAAGGCGACGAUACGUAGCCGACCUGAGAGGGUGAUCGGCCACACUGGAACUGAGACACGGUCCAGACUCCUACGGGAGGCAGCAGUAGGGAAUCUUCCGCAAUGGGCGAAAGCCUGACGGAGCAACGCCGCGUGAGUGAUGAAGGUCUUCGGAUCGUAAAACUCUGUUGUUAGGGAAGAACAAAUUUGUUAGUAACUGAACAAGUCUUGACGGUACCUAGCCAGAAAGCCACGGCUAACUACGUGCCAGCCGCCGCCGUAA
RNAcentral lists this ribosomal RNA (514 nucleotides) under uncultured bacterium. Its description in RNAcentral is "partial 16S ribosomal RNA". It matches the Rfam family "Bacterial small subunit ribosomal RNA", at positions 28 to 523 of the family's 1533-position model. The record is from RNAcentral.